Molecule: long non-coding RNA, 1041 nt
Organism: Larimichthys crocea (large yellow croaker)
Lineage: Eukaryota; Metazoa; Chordata; Actinopteri; Sciaenidae
Exons: 2
Source: RefSeq, a predicted model, not a curated record
UUAACUUAAAUUUCUGACCAUAUGUGACACUUUAAAAAGAAAAAAAAAACUCUUGCAAUGGCCGUCAGAGAAAACUCUUACAUGGGCACUUUUUAACACAAAGAGCCAGUCCAAAUAUUUAGCAGUCAUAAGCUUUUUUAGGUGACCUUUGGGUCAUUCAGCAUUAAGUCAAAGUUUAAUGAACAACGAGCAGUUUGGCUUCAAGUAGCCUCAAGACUCAAGAAUAAAUUCAAAGCAGCUUUUCCAGCCGGUGACUGAACCAGGACGCGAAGAUGCUCGACCGACGGCACAAAAAUAAAUAAAAACUUUCAGUUUUCUUGAACUGUGAGUGUAAAAAAAAAACACGUCUGACAUUUGGGAGGAUAAUUACUUCAGAUGUGAUCAUGGAUGCUUCUAAAGGUUCCUUCGUUGUGGAAUAUUUGUUAAAGAUGGUCGAUAAUCUGCGCCUGAAGUGCUUUUCAGCACACUGGGCUACUAGUAGCAGACAUGCUCCUCUUUUCAGACAGCAGUGUUUUUCGCCUACGCGUUGUUACGACAUUUCCAUAUACCAAUGGAGACAGUAUUCCCGAAAGAAUGGAAGGACUCGCAUUCACCAAUAAAAAGCGAACAAGGUAUCCUUAUUCCAGAAAAAAAAAAAAAAAAUCCCUGGCAAUCAAUCACCCAUUUGAAAUAUACAGGAAUUCAGAGCAGGAUAGGCCCCGUGCACAUUUGGAAGCUUUCUAACAUUAGGAGAUUUUUUUUUUUUUUUGGUGUGUUUCGGAAGCUUUGUGAUGACAAAUAAAGGCGCUGCCUUAAGAUACAAGCAUAUUUGUUCACGUGAUUGUUCUCUUCUUCAACCAAGCCUUACCUCACCAAUCCAUUUUGAUAAAGGGUGGCGUUUAUUUCCUCAUCUGAACUGUGUGAAAAUGUUGCACUGCCAAUUUUCUUUCUGAUUCUUUUUUUUUUCUUUUUGCUGCGAGCAUAGCAACAAGCCUGCACACUUCAGAGUUGUAUCAGGUAUUAAUGAUGCAGAUUUUACACAUCCUGCUGCUCUAUCAGAGU